Molecule: ribosomal RNA, 465 nt
Filed under: uncultured bacterium
Lineage: Bacteria
Description: bacterial SSU rRNA
Rfam family: Bacterial small subunit ribosomal RNA
Source: RNAcentral
CCAGACUCCUACGGGAGGCAGCAGUGAGGAAUAUUGGUCAAUGGGCGGGAGCCUGAACCAGCCAAGCCGCGUGAAGGAAGAAGGCGCCAAGCGUCGUAAACUUCUUUUGUCGGGGAACAAAGGGCGCCACGUGUGGCGUUGUGAGUGUACCCGAAGAAAAAGCAUCGGCUAACUCCGUGCCAGCAGCCGCGGUAAUACGGAGGAUGCGAGCGUUAUCCGGAUUUAUUGGGUUUAAAGGGUGCGUAGGCGGUCCGGAAAGUCAGCGGUAAAAGCCCGGGGCUCAACCCCGGCGGGCCGUUGAAACUGGCAGUCUCGAGUUGGAGAGAAGUAUGCGGAAUGCGCGGUGUAGCGGUGAAAUGCAUAGAUAUCGCGCAGAACUCCGAUUGCGAAGGCAGCAUGCCGGCUCCACACUGACGCUGAGGCACGAAAGCGUGGGUAUCGAACAGGAUUAGAUACCCUAGUAUC